Molecule: ribosomal RNA, 263 nt
Filed under: uncultured bacterium
Lineage: Bacteria
Description: partial 16S ribosomal RNA
Rfam family: Bacterial small subunit ribosomal RNA
Source: RNAcentral
GUCCAUGCCGUAAACGAUGUCUACUAGCCGUUGGGGCCUUUGAGGCUUUAGUGGCGCAGCUAACGCGAUAAGUAGACCGCCUGGGGAGUACGGUCGCAAGACUAAAACUCAAAUGAAUUGACGGGGGCCCGCACAAGCGGUGGAUGAUGUGGAUUAAUUCGAUGCAACGCGAAGAACCUUACCUGGUCUUGACAUAGUAAGAACUUUCCAGAGAUGGAUUGGUGCCUUCGGGAGCUUACAUACAGGUGCUGCAUGGCUGUCGU